RNAcentral lists this ribosomal RNA (492 nucleotides) under uncultured bacterium. RNAcentral describes it as "partial 16S ribosomal RNA". It matches the Rfam family "Bacterial small subunit ribosomal RNA", at positions 29 to 507 of the family's 1533-position model. The record is from RNAcentral.
AGUGAACGCUGGCGGUAGGCCUAACACAUGCAAGUCGAACGGCAGCACAGUAAGAGCUUGCUCUUACGGGUGGCGAGUGGCGGACGGGUGAGGAAUAUAACGGAAUCUACUUUUUCGUGGGGGUUAACGAAGGUAAACUUACGCUAAUACCGCAUACGACCCACGGGUGAAAGCAGGGGAUCUUCGGACCUUGCGCGAAUGAAUGAGCCGCUGUCGGGUUAGCUAGUUGGCGGGGUAAUGGCCCACCAAGGCGGCGAUCCGUAGCUGGUCGGAGAGGAUGGUCAGCGACACUGGAACUGAGACACGGUCCAGACUCCUACGGGAGGCAGCAGUGGGGAAUAUUGGGCAAUGGGCGCAAGCCUGAUCCAGCCAUACCGCGUGGGUGAAGAAGGCCUUCGGGUUGUAAAGCCCUUUUGUUGGGAAAGAAAAGCAGCAGGUUAAUACCCCGCUGUUCUGACGGUACCCAAUGAAUAAGCACCGGCUAACUUCGUG